This is a long non-coding RNA of Pistacia vera, 1965 nucleotides long. RefSeq lists it as uncharacterized. The record is from RefSeq and is a predicted model, not a curated record. The transcript has 5 exons. NCBI's taxonomy places the organism in Eukaryota, Viridiplantae, Streptophyta, Magnoliopsida, Sapindales, Anacardiaceae.
UGGCUGGCAGGAUAACCUGCUCUGAUACUAUGUAAGAAGCUGGUGUGGUAGCAAGCACGAGGAGGCAACUAAGUUACCAAAGAGUGCAAGAGAGGCAAGAGAAGCAAUCAAAGUUGCUGAGUAUGCCGAGAAAUUACUAGCAAGGAAGAAGAGAAAGAGAAUAAUUUUUGUAUAUAUCUUUUCCUGUCCAGAAGUUACAAUUUAUACAAUUAUAAAUGUUAUAUGUAAGGAAACCAAAUAAAGAAAAUAAAUGUAGAUGAACACAUACAAGGUAAUUACCUAAACUACAUAUUUAGAGACUACUACACAUCUCCUAAAUAUGGUUUGUCACAUGUCAACAAAUAGUUCUUGAACAGCAUGGAAAUAUGGCUCCUGCCGCCCGAAUGGCUAUGACUAGAAGAGUUCACCCUCUUGUUUCCUUGAAUCCCUACCAAGGCAAUUGGAUACAAGCAAAGGGAAAGGCGUACUUACAGGAAUGCAAGAGGAGAAGGGUGUGUCUUCAAUGUGGAGUUAACAGAUCAAGAUGUAAGUCAAAAAGUUAAUCUGCGUAAACAAUUUUUCCUUUAGGGUCAUGUAAACGUGAAAUUAUAAUAAUGUUAGGGGUGUUUCUCGUAGGCAGGAGAUGUAUGGGUUGUCUAUUUGUAGUCGUAAUAUAAGGAUUGGUGCGGCUGAUGGGUUUGGUGAUUGUGUUGGGAUGGUUAAUAGCUGCUGGGAGUUACCAAAUAUUGUGUUGGCUGGUGCAAUUGCAGUCAGAAUCUAUAUAUAUAAAGGGCAGUAUAGUGGUCUGCUUGAUAAUUUUUUCUUUUGCAUUCUAGAUGGUUAUUUUGGUGAUUAUGCAGAUCUGAAAUUUACUGGGGUUUUGUUGCACUGGUUAGAAUGGACAGCAGUUGUAUAUGGCUGUUUAUAUUUUGAUUUUUGCUGUCACUGUGUAGGGCUGGGAGUGCAACAGAAUGGAUCAUUGCUUAUAUGUUUUUCCCUUCCUUUUGCUUGUGAUAAUAGUGCUAAAAUCUUAUACAGCAGGAAUUUGUUUUUUGUCUUGGAUUGCUGGGUUUUAUAGAUUAUUUUUGUAGUGCUGAGUUCAGGGGGCAGCAUUUUUUUGCUGGUUUUGUGGAUACGCUGUCCGUGUAAAGGGUUUGCUGUUUUUUUUUUUUAGCAAUCUAGAGUGCUUUUUGCUCUGCUGUAGAUUGCUUUGUUGCUGGGCACCAGGUUUGGAUAUCUUUCUUUCUGACUCUUUUUUGGUUGUUCCGUAGCUCUUUGGCUUGUCAAAGGGUUGGCGAUAGGUUGUAUUUUUUUAUUCUUUAAUUAAAUUAUUAUCUUUUAACAUGUUAGUGAUGAAUGGUUAAAAUUGAUCUGUUUGGUGCAGGGCACACAAAUACAAGCAAAAAUGAAGCUGCAAGGAAAUUCUAUGACAGGUGCCAAUUGGGAAAGGUGUAUUACAUAUCUCGGGGAACACUUAGGUUGGUAACCAGCAAUUCAAGACUGUGCAAAAUGAUAAUGAAAUGAGCUUGAACAAAAUGAUUUUGGCAUCACUUUUGAGGUUGUCUGCGCUCUUUGGCCUUGGAAGGUGCGGGAAUUGGCAGAAAAAGAGCCUGAUAAUGGAGUCUUUAAAAUGCUUCGCUGUGAUGUUACUCUGUUUUUAACGACUAUUCUCAUUGGCACAACGUAUUACCCUCCCCCUUAAUUGUGGCAAAUAUUGGAGCCACUGCAUUGGUCACAGAGGUAGCAACAGCUUUAUUUGGUGAGGCUGGUGUCAGGGCAGCAACAGGAGUAAUGACUGUUUCAUUGGGUUCUUGUUGCUAUUGACAUGAACACUUAGGGUUGCUAACAAGCAGUUCAUGGGAAAGAAAUAUACGAAGAUGUAGAGGUUGAUGAAGUCAGAGGAGAAUGGGCGAUGUACGUAUCAAACAUUUUUUAGUCAUUGUUGUUUCAGUGAUGUUAGAGGCCAAUGAGGGCAAAAACUAUGUA